RNAcentral lists this small RNA (289 nucleotides) under Pyricularia oryzae 70-15. RNAcentral's name for it is "Magnaporthe oryzae 70-15 5' ureB small RNA". It matches the Rfam family "5' ureB small RNA". The record is from Rfam by way of RNAcentral. Lineage: Eukaryota; Fungi; Ascomycota; Sordariomycetes; Magnaporthales; Pyriculariaceae.
CUGCUUGUUGCGGACAUAUGAAGUGGAUGUGAGUGUCGAUUCCACCAGCUGUGAUGAUCUUGCCCUCGCCAGCCACAACAUCGGUACAGCUUCCAACAACCAUGCCUUCAGUGAUGCCAUCCAUGACAUCGGGGUUUCCAGCCUUGCCGAUGGCCACAAUCAUGCCAUUCUUGAUACCAAUGUCGGCCUUGUAAAUUCCACUCCAGUCCAGAAUGAGCGCGUUUGUGACCACCAUAUCCAGAGUUUCUUCAUCGGAUCGCCCAGACGCCUGACCCAUGCCUUCGCGCAG